UACGUAGGGCGCAAGCGUUAUCCGGAAUUAUUGGGCGUAAAGAGCUCGUAGGCGGUUUGUCGCGUCUGCCGUGAAAGUCCGGGGCUCAACUCCGGAUCUGCGGUGGGUACGGGCAGACUAGAGUCAGGUAGGGGAGAACGGAAUUCCUGGUGUAGCGGUGAAAUGCGCAGAUAUCAGGAGGAACACCGGUGGCGAAGGCGGGUCUCUGGGCCGAUACUGACGCUGAGGAGCGAAAGCGUGGGGAGCGAACAGG
RNAcentral lists this ribosomal RNA (253 nucleotides) under uncultured bacterium. RNAcentral's name for it is "partial 16S ribosomal RNA". It matches the Rfam family "Bacterial small subunit ribosomal RNA", at positions 524 to 776 of the family's 1533-position model. The record is from RNAcentral.